GCGUUCCUACGGGAGGCAGCAGUGAGGAAUAUUGGUCAAUGGGCGGGAGCCUGAACCAGCUACGUCGCGUGAAGGAAGAAGGUACUUAGUAUUGUAAACUUCUUUUGUCGGGGAACAAAGGCGGAGACGCGUCUCCGGAUGAGUGUACCCGAAGAAAAAGCAUCGGCUAACUCCGUGCCAGCAGCCGCGGUAAUACGGAGGAUGCGAGCGUUAUCCGGAUUUAUUGGGUUUAAAGGGUGCGCAGGCGGAAUGUCAAGUCAGCGGUAAAAUUUCGGGGCUCAACCCCGUCGUGCCGUUGAAACUGC
This 305-nucleotide ribosomal RNA is filed under the name uncultured bacterium. RNAcentral describes it as "bacterial SSU rRNA". It matches the Rfam family "Bacterial small subunit ribosomal RNA", at positions 333 to 636 of the family's 1533-position model. The record is from RNAcentral.